Molecule: ribosomal RNA, 517 nt
Filed under: uncultured Staphylococcus sp.
Lineage: Bacteria; Bacillati; Bacillota; Bacilli; Caryophanales; Staphylococcaceae
Description: bacterial SSU rRNA
Rfam family: Bacterial small subunit ribosomal RNA
Source: RNAcentral
AGAGUUUGAUCCUGGCUCAGGAUGAACGCUGGCGGCGUGCCUAAUACAUGCAAGUCGAGCGAACAGAUAAGGAGCUUGCUCCUUUGAAGUUAGCGGCGGACGGGUGAGUAACACGUGGGUAACCUACCUAUAAGACUGGGAUAACUUCGGGAAACCGGAGCUAAUACCGGAUAACAUUUAGAACCGCAUGGUUCUAAAGUGAAAGAUGGUUUUGCUAUCACUUAUAGAUGGACCCGCGCCGUAUUAGCUAGUUGGUAAGGUAACGGCUUACCAAGGCGACGAUACGUAGCCGACCUGAGAGGGUGAUCGGCCACACUGGAACUGAGACACGGUCCAGACUCCUACGGGAGGCAGCAGUAGGGAAUCUUCCACAAUGGGCGAAAGCCUGACGGAGCAACGCCGCGUGAGUGAUGAAGGGUUUCGGCUCGUAAAACUCUGUUAUUAGGGAAGAACAAAUGUGUAAGUAACUGUGCACAUCUUGACGGUACCUAAUCAGAAAGCCACGGCUAACUACGUG